GACGAACGCUGGCGGCGUGCUUAACACAUGCAAGUCGAACGGAAAGGCCCUGCUUUUGUGGGGUGCUCGAGUGGCGAACGGGUGAGUAACACGUGAGUAACCUGCCCUUGACUUUGGGAUAACUUCAGGAAACUGGGGCUAAUACCGGAUAGGAGCUCCUGCUGCAUGGUGGGGGUUGGAAAGUUUCGGCGGUUGGGGAUGGACUCGCGGCUUAUCAGCUUGUUGGUGGGGUAGUGGCUUACCAAGGCUUUGACGGGUAGCCGGCCUGAGAGGGUGACCGGCCACAUUGGGCCUGCGAUACGGCCCAGACUCCUACGGGAGGCAGCAGUGGGGAAUAUUGCACAAUGGGCGGACGCCUGAUGCAGCAACGCCGCGUGCGGGAUGACGGCCUUCGGGUUGUAAACCGCUUUGUCCUGUGACGAAGCGUGAGUGACGGUAAUGGGUAAAGAAGCACCGGCUAACUACGUG
RNAcentral lists this ribosomal RNA (468 nucleotides) under uncultured bacterium. Its description in RNAcentral is "partial 16S ribosomal RNA". It matches the Rfam family "Bacterial small subunit ribosomal RNA", at positions 28 to 507 of the family's 1533-position model. The record is from RNAcentral.